Long non-coding RNA from Gallus gallus (chicken), 955 nucleotides. Lineage: Eukaryota; Metazoa; Chordata; Aves; Galliformes; Phasianidae. The record is from Ensembl.
AGGAUCCACCCCUUCCCACACCUUGUUUAGGGGUUGGUAGGGGAGGUGAGAGUGUGUUGCUGGAGAUCCUUGCCUAUGUGAGGCCUUCUGAAGAUCUGUUCAACAGAACUCGCAUGAUGUUGGAAUUCAUGGAGAAUUCAUUUCCAUUAGUCAAGAACAAGUCAGUGAUGAUUUUCAUUGUUUGUGAGGUGGACGUGUGGAGUAAAGAUGUAGAUAUUUUCAGAUGCCUGAAGAUUCAAAAGUCUCCUUAUACAGUGCAAGUCUGCUUUUCUCCUGCUGCCAGAGAGAGGUGAACAUAGAGAGGACGGACAGAUUCUUUUUUUUUUUUUCACUGCUUUAUGAUGAUGAUGGUAUUUUGACUACACCUGAUUGCUUUCUGAUUUUUAAGGAAAAGGCUAAACAAGAAAACAACAACUUAAAUAUUACAAAAGUCUGAAAAUGAUCUCUACUGCAGUAUUUUGGAACUCUAGAAUUACCUAUAGAUUUGAGGAUUAUAGGCAACAUACGCUGCAACUUCUCUGAGAUCGUACCGCUGCCAAAUGAUGACUCAUUCCCCAGUCCCACAGUCCUGCAGGGAACUAAGCUGUGCCAGACCUCUUCGUGGUUUAUCUCUAUCUCUGUGCUGGAUCAGCUGUGCUGGCUGACAAGCUCUAUCAUGAUCAAAUCUAGGAAUUCAUGAGUCAGACUUCAAUGCUGCAAAAUUAACUUUCAAACCAUAACGGUUUAUAUGCAUACAGACAUAUACAUGCUCCCAUCCACUCAAAUUAUAAAAUGUGUAGCUCCAUGUCUAUUGAUUACUGUAUUCCUAUUUUAUGUCUUCUGGAUUUACUCCUCAUAGUGUUUAUUCUAUAUGCCUGAAAAUUAGAAACAUUUAUUUUAACUGUAAAAGAAACAAAGAUAAAAAAACAUUAUUUUACUUAUUUUGCCAUAGAGCUAUGGAAACUAGACUUAAAAU